CAAUUUUCAUUCUUACAAAAAUUUCUACUUGGUAAGGAUAAGAAAGACUGUGCAUGAGUGAGGGAUCUAUUGUCAAUGAUCCAAUUUCAGAAAUCAUCAAUCCAAGCCAGGAUGAUAGAAAAACAACACUAUUGAAAUUGAACAAGCGUCCGAAGUAAGGAAUGACGAAUGUCUGAGUUGUAGCCAAAUCUUUGGUUCUAAACUCUUAUUCUUUCAAAAUUUUAAUAUAUAUUUUUUAUAUUUGAAACUGAUAAGA
RNAcentral lists this long non-coding RNA (256 nucleotides) under Durio zibethinus. RNAcentral's name for it is "long non-coding RNA (DZIB_LNC001494)". Lineage: Eukaryota; Viridiplantae; Streptophyta; Magnoliopsida; Malvales; Malvaceae. The record is from RNAcentral.